ACGUGAUCUGAGUUCAGACCGGAGCAAUCCAGGUCGGUUUCUAUCUAUAACAGAGCUUAUCCCAGUACGAAAGGACCGAAAAAGCAUGGCCAAUACCCCAAGCAAGCCAUUAUUAGAAAUUUAUGUCAUCAACUUAACUGAUUACUAACCUACAACCUCCCUCAAGAUAAGAGA
RNAcentral lists this ribosomal RNA (174 nucleotides) under Scinax danae. Its description in RNAcentral is "partial 16S large subunit ribosomal RNA". The record is from RNAcentral. Lineage: Eukaryota; Metazoa; Chordata; Amphibia; Anura; Hylidae.